Molecule: long non-coding RNA, 1050 nt
Organism: Gossypium arboreum
Lineage: Eukaryota; Viridiplantae; Streptophyta; Magnoliopsida; Malvales; Malvaceae
Exons: 5
Source: RefSeq, a predicted model, not a curated record
AGAAGUGUAAUAAUGCCACCAACUUAAUGCCCAAUCAGAAAAAUUCUGACGCCUGUCUUUCCAUCAUUUUGUCAUUUCAAUUUUAAUGGCCACCGUUUCCAAAGGAAGCUUUAAUCCUCAUGACUUUUGAACUGUUCAUCUUGAAACUUCCUUACUUUCUCUCUAUCUCCUUUCUUAUUCAAUCCGGUUCUCUCAUGCUGUCAUUUUCCAUGUGGUUUUUGGCAUAUCCAGGGACAUUCUCAACCAGGCAAGCAAGGGCUUCAGCAGCGAAGGCUGAGGGCACUCUUUGAUGAAUCUCUGAGCAUGAUAGGAGGACGAGCCUUGCACUGUCUCUGACAACAACUCCAGAUGCCGACUGUUGAUUCCUCUCGUCGUAGGCUCCAUCGAAAUUAACUUUUACUGUUUGACAUUUCUCCCCAGAUGGCCCAUAGUGCGCAGCAAAAUAUUCUGCAGACUGGAAGGAUGUUGAGCGAAAACCCUGGACAUUCGCGGAAGAGGUGGUCCAUUGUUUCUGCUCCUUCACCACAACGGGGGCAUGCGAAACUGUUUAUUAGUCUUCUGUAUACCAUGUUAGCCCGUGUGGGCAAAUAGUUCCAAGAGAUCUUCCAAAUUGUAACUUUAAUUUUGGUAGGUAGAUCUAGGAGCCAAAAUUUUUUGUAAAAUACUUAGUCGGUUUGUAAAGCGUAAGCUCUAGGAUUAGAAUUUUGUAAUAGUUUGUAGGCACUUCGAACUGAAUAUUCUCUCGAAAGUUCCCCGCUCCACGUCAGGAUAUCAGCAUGAGGUUCUUGCGCCAACGGGAUGCUAAGGAUUUUUCCAGCUUCUACUUCUGGAAAGGAUCUAGCACAAGAGAAUCGUUGAUGCUAUGUCCCAUUCUUCCACAUCCAAAGCAAAAAAUUAGUAACUUCUCAUAUUUAAAAGAAAUCCACGAUUUAAAGCUAUUAUUGCUUGAAACAAAAAUACCUCUUCAAAGAGGUUUCUGUACAUCCAGGUUUAUUCUUAACCGACAUAAAUCAUCAAUAAUUUCAGAUCUAAUUACUCCUUCAAAAGUAA